Molecule: ribosomal RNA, 287 nt
Filed under: uncultured bacterium
Lineage: Bacteria
Description: partial 16S ribosomal RNA
Rfam family: Bacterial small subunit ribosomal RNA
Source: RNAcentral
AGUCCCGCAACGAGUGCAACCCUUGUCCUAUGUUGCCAGCGCGUAAUGGCGGGGACUCGUGGGAGACUGCCGGCGACAAGUCGGAGGAAGGUGGGGACGACGUCAAGUCAUCAUGCCCCUUAUGCCCAGGGCUGCAAACAUGCUACAAUGGCCGGUACAAAGGGCUGCGAAACCGUGAGGUCAAGCGAAUCCCAUAAAGCCGGUCUCAGUUCGGAUUGGAGUCUGCAACUCGACUCCAUGAAGCCGGAGUCGCUAGUAAUCCCGGAUCAGCAACGCCGGGGUGAAUA